CCUACGGGGGGCAGCAGUGAGGAAUAUUGGUCAAUGGACGAGAGUCUGAACCAGCCAAGUAGCGUGAAGGAUGACUGCCCUAUGGGUUGUAAACUUCUUUUAUAUGGGAAUAAAAUGUUCCACGUGUGGGAUUUUGUAUGUACCAUAUGAAUAAGGAUCGGCUAACUCCGUGCCAGCAGCCGCGGUAAUACGGAGGAUCCGAGCGUUGUCCGGAUUGAUUGGGUUUAAAGGGAGCGUAGGUGGAUUGUUAAGUCAGUUGUGAAAGUUUGCGGCUCAACCGUAAAAUUGCAGUUGAAACUGGCAGUCUUGAGUACAGUAGAGGUGGGCGGAAUUCGUGGUGUAGCGGUGAAAUGCUUAGAUAUCACGAAGAACUCCGAUUGCGAAGGCAGCUCACUGGACUGCAACUGACACUGAGGCUCGAAAGUGUGGGUAUCAAACAGGAUUAGAUACCCGGGUAGUC
Molecule: ribosomal RNA, 460 nt
Filed under: uncultured bacterium
Lineage: Bacteria
Description: partial 16S ribosomal RNA
Rfam family: Bacterial small subunit ribosomal RNA
Source: RNAcentral